Lytechinus pictus (painted urchin) is the source of this 607-nucleotide long non-coding RNA. RefSeq lists it as uncharacterized. The record is from RefSeq and is a predicted model, not a curated record. NCBI's taxonomy places the organism in Eukaryota, Metazoa, Echinodermata, Echinoidea, Temnopleuroida, Toxopneustidae. The transcript has 3 exons.
GUGAACAGCAAGACUGCAUCAUCGGUUACAUUAUCCUGGAUAGGGUUUACAUCAGCCACCAGCUAUCGGAUAUCUUACAUCAGUCAAGAUAAUACAGGGACCGGUGUCCUAAGCUCAACUACCCCAAUUUCAGUAGUUACUGGUCUGCAACCUCAGAUGACUUAUACAUUCUCUGUAGUAGCUACUGUAGGCACAUCCGAAAUAAAUGUAGGGUCAGUGACUGAAACUACAGAUACCGUGUCGACUAUGGCUGUGAACGCCACACCCGGUACUAAUACAAUUGACUUGUCAUGGGCCAGCAUUCCUGAUACUGUUUUGUACCAGAUCUUCUAUCAGCCUCUUGUUCCAGGUGGUAUGGCCAAUCAGAGGAACUCCUUCCAAAAUUUCUUCACCUUAACUGACCUGCUCCCAGUGACGACGUAUAACAUUACGGUAUAUGCAUUCACAAGCAGCUUAGGCACGUCUGCCCUGGUGACAGUAGGGACUGUCAUUACGUCAACGGUCACAGUUCUAAAACCACCAGAAAACUUUAUCUUAUACCAGCUGAGUGUUUCAUCCAUUUUGCUCCGAUGGGAUCCACCAUCACCACCUGAUAAUUCCUUCGGAA